This 497-nucleotide ribosomal RNA is filed under the name uncultured bacterium. RNAcentral describes it as "partial 16S ribosomal RNA". It matches the Rfam family "Bacterial small subunit ribosomal RNA", at positions 28 to 507 of the family's 1533-position model. The record is from RNAcentral.
GAUGAACGCUGGCGGCGUGCCUAAUACAUGCAAGUCGAGCGAACGGACGAGAAGUUUCCUGCUCUGAUGUUAGCGGCGGGCGUGUGAGUAACACGUGGAUUACGUACCUAUAAUACUGGGAUGACUUCGGGAAACCGUAUCUAAUACGGUAUGAUAUUUUUAACCGCGUGGUUCUAGAGUGUAAGACGGUGUUGCUUUCACUUACAGAUUGUUCCCCUCUUCAUUAGCUAGUUGCUAAGGUAACGGCUUACCAAGGCAACGAUGCAUAGCCGAUCUGAGAGGGUGAUCGGCCACACUAGAACUGAGACGCGGACCAGAGUACUACGGGAGGCACCAGUAGGGAAUCUUACGCAAUAGGCGAGAGCCUGACGGAACAGCGGCGCGCGAGAGAUGACGGUCUUGGGAUCGUAAAACUCUGCUACUGGGGAAAAACACCUGUGUAAGUAACCGUGCACAUAUUGACGGUACCUGGUGAGAAAGCAACGGCUAACUACGUG